UUAUAUGGAGAGUUUGAUCCUGGCUCAGGACGAACGCUGGCGGCGUGCCUAAUACAUGCAAGUCGAGCGGACGGAUGGGAGCUUGCUCCCUGAAGUCAGCGGCGGACGGGUGAGUAACACGUGGGCAACCUGCCUGUAAGACUGGGAUAACUCCGGGAAACCGGGGCUAAUACCGGAUAACUCUUUUCCUCACAUGUGGAAAAGCUGAAAGAUGGUUUCGGCUAUCACUUACAGAUGGGCCCGCGGCGCAUUAGCUAGUUGGUGAGGUACGGCUCACCAAGGCCACGAUGCGUAGCCGACCUGAGAGGGUGAUCGGCCACACUGGGAC
Molecule: ribosomal RNA, 328 nt
Filed under: Cytobacillus firmus
Lineage: Bacteria; Bacillati; Bacillota; Bacilli; Caryophanales; Bacillaceae
Description: bacterial SSU rRNA
Rfam family: Bacterial small subunit ribosomal RNA
Source: RNAcentral